ACUCAAAUGAAUAGACGGGGGCCCGCACAAGCGGUGGAGCAUGUGGUUCAAUUCGAUGCUACGCGAAGAACCUUACCUGGGCUUGACUUCCCCGGAACCUCAUGGAAACAUGGGGGUGCCUUCGGGAGCCGGGAGACAGGUGCUGCAUGGCUGUCGUCAGCUCGUGUCGUGAGAUGUUGGGUUAAGUCCCGCAACGAGCGCAACCCUUGUCCUUAGUUGCCAGCGGGUUAUGCCGGGAACUCUAAGGAGACUGCCGGUAUCAAGCCGGAGGAAGGCGGGGAUGACGUCAAGUCAGCAUGGCCCUUACGCCCAGGGCGACACACGUGCUACAAUGGCCGGUACAACGGGCAGCGAAGCAGCGAUGCCAAGCGAAUCCCUUAAAGCCGGUCUCAGUUCGGAUUGGAGGCUGCAACUCGCCUCCAUGAAGUCGGAAUCGCUAGUAACAGCAGAUCAGCCAUGCUGCUGUGAAUACGUUCCCGGGCCUUGUACACACCGCCCGU
This 500-nucleotide ribosomal RNA is filed under the name uncultured bacterium. RNAcentral's name for it is "bacterial SSU rRNA". It matches the Rfam family "Bacterial small subunit ribosomal RNA", at positions 899 to 1397 of the family's 1533-position model. The record is from RNAcentral.